UACGUAGGGGGCAAGCGUUGUCCGGAAUCACUGGGCGUAAAGGGCGCGUAGGCGGCGUUUUUAAGUCGGGGGUGAAAGCCUGUGGCUCAACCACAGAAUGGCCUCGAUACUGGGACGCUUGAGUAUGGUAGAGGUUGGUGGAACUGCGAGUGUAGAGGUGAAAUUCGUAGAUAUUCGCAAGAACACCGGUGGCGAAGGCGGCCAACUGGACCAUUACUGACGCUGAGGCGCGAAAGCGUGGGGAGCAAACAGG
RNAcentral lists this ribosomal RNA (253 nucleotides) under uncultured bacterium. Its description in RNAcentral is "partial 16S ribosomal RNA". It matches the Rfam family "Bacterial small subunit ribosomal RNA", at positions 524 to 776 of the family's 1533-position model. The record is from RNAcentral.